AUUGAACGCUGGCGGCAGGCCUAACACAUGCAAGUCGAGCGGAUGAAGGGAGCUUGCUCCUGGAUUCAGCGGCGGACGGGUGAGUAAUGCCUAGGAAUCUGCCUGGUAGUGGGGGAUAACGUCCGGAAACGGGCGCUAAUACCGCAUACGUCCUGAGGGAGAAAGUGGGGGAUCUUCGGACCUCACGCUAUCAGAUGAGCCUAGGUCGGAUUAGCUAGUUGGUGGGGUAAAGGCCUACCAAGGCGACGAUCCGUAACUGGUCUGAGAGGAUGAUCAGUCACACUGGAACUGAGACACGGUCCAGACUCCUACGGGAGGCAGCAGUAGGGAAUAUUGGACAAUGGGCGAAAGCCUGAUCCAGCCAUGCCGCGUGUGUGAAGAAGGUCUUCGGAUUGUAAAGCACUUUAAGUUGGGAGGAAGGGCAGUAAGUUAAUACCUUGCUGUUUUGACGUUACCAACAGAAUAAGCACCGGCUAACUUCGUGC
This 485-nucleotide ribosomal RNA is filed under the name uncultured bacterium. RNAcentral describes it as "partial 16S ribosomal RNA". It matches the Rfam family "Bacterial small subunit ribosomal RNA", at positions 30 to 508 of the family's 1533-position model. The record is from RNAcentral.